This 1743-nucleotide long non-coding RNA is filed under the name Citrus x clementina. RNAcentral's name for it is "Citrus clementina (C. clementina) long non-coding RNA (CCLE_LNC001906)". Lineage: Eukaryota; Viridiplantae; Streptophyta; Magnoliopsida; Sapindales; Rutaceae. The record is from RNAcentral.
UCAAUUAAGAAAUUUAGUAUAAAAUUAUCCCCGUACUCUUUCUCCGAAUGAGAAAAAUACUUGAGAGUACCUGUCUCGUCGGAAUUUAUGUCAUUCCUACGUAUCUCUUUCAACGUCUGAUUUCCCUUGUUAGUUGUUGUUGUUACUGCAUCAAUCUCUUGUUCACUCAUCAUUAGUCGCGCAAGCUACUUUAUCGAAUCCUCUAGAUCUAGAUCCAUCAUUUUAAGCUUUGACCUGUAGUUAUCGAUCAUUAACUCAAUCCCGUUAUUCACGACGGCGACUUCAGGUCAAAAAGCUAAGGUCACUGCCACUGGAGCUCACUGCCGUCACCACCGCUCCAGCCGCCACCAGCCUUUAGUCACCAAACCACCGACCCAACACCUGAGAGCCAUAAACAAAAAUACCCUCUCCGGCUGGUGUGUUUUUUAUUUGGCUUUUUUCUUUUGUUUUUAUUUUUUUUUCAGUCUUGCUUAUUUAAUGUUUCAAUUUUUUAGUUUUUAUUUUUUAUUUUUUUAUGGUGGUUGGUUUUAUUAUUGACUGUUGGGUGUUGUCUAUCUGCUCCUCUUGAUAUCUUGUAUAGUCGUUGAUGAUGUCAACUUAGAGUUCGGUUCAAAAUUGUGUCAAUGUUCAAAUCGGAAGGAUAUGCCUGUAUUGGAGUUGAUAAAGAGCUCUAAUAGUUGUGCAUUUAUAUUCUGAUGACUUGGUGCAAGUUACUGAUGGCUUGGGUUGAGGGCUCAUUGAGAGAUAUAGUUUGAUUAUGUUGUUGAGUUUUUGUGAUUUUUGGUGUGCUUGUAGUUAGUAGUUAGUAUUAUGUUAUGGCACUCUAUGUUAAUUUUGUAGUAUUAUUUUCCUUCUCUGAUUAGAAAAGGAUCUCCAUUAGUUGAGGUUGGCAACAGUUCGUAAAAUUUCUUUUCAUUGUAAGUAGGUUUAAUAGAUGAAAUUCUUUUUUUCUUUAGGUUUGUAAUUAUAUUUGCUUUUAGGAAUUGUUCGAUCUUAGGCUUAAAUUAUAGGUCUUAUCCUAUUUAUUAUAUUUAAGCUUAGUGAUCGUGUGUUUAUGUCUCUAUGACAUUUUAUAGUUGGACUAGUUUUCAUCGUUAAUGAAAGACAUAUUUUCUUUUUAAACAAAAAAAUACAAUAAUUUAUUUUAGUUCUCAUUUCUCACCUAAUUCAAGUUCAUUCUCAUUUUGUCCUAUUCCAAUUAUUAAUUGAUAAAUAUAUCAUGAGUAACUAAUGUUGAGUAAAUCCUCUCAUUUUCAUUCAUUUUUUUUAAUUUUUUUUUAAAAUGAGGUGUUAUUUAGGGAAAAAGGUUUAAAAAAAAGUGAGAUGUUGGAAGAUGUCAAAGUAAUUAAUGGUGCUAGACGAUGAAGUCAAUUAAUGAGCUGUGCCUUUAUUGAUGAAUGGGGCCGUUGAUUGAAGUAGGAGUUUAGGUCAACGCUGAAGGCCGGUAGGUUUCAACCUGACGUAUCACCAUGCCAAACACUUCAGAUUAACAUUUAGGGACAACAUUUUGAUUCUUGCCAUUUUCACAUUGGCGCUACACUGAAUAAUGUUGUAGGCUUCUUAUUUGUUGCUUCUAUUGAUAGCAUAUAAUCUCUCUAGUCGCGUCACACAUUGUGCUUAUAAGCAUUUUGACACUUUUUUUUUUCUUUUUAACAUAAAUUGAUUUUUUUUUCUUAACACUUAUGGUACACUCCACCGAUCAUGCAGGGAGAAAUAUAUUCAUUAUUUAGGGAUCAAGGUAUU